Molecule: long non-coding RNA, 3235 nt
Organism: Eriocheir sinensis (Chinese mitten crab)
Lineage: Eukaryota; Metazoa; Arthropoda; Malacostraca; Decapoda; Varunidae
Exons: 4
Source: RefSeq, a predicted model, not a curated record
GACACCCGGUAAUCAUGAAUAUACACUCCAUUGGGGUAAAGUAGAUGACCUAAUUAUAAACUAGAUGAAGCAUGUGCAAAAUUUCAAGUGAACUUGGAGAUCGGAAUUUCAAUCGCCCGCGCUCACAGGCCAUGACGUCACUCGAACUCACUUCCAUCAUGGCGGCAAGGCGGGAGGUGGAGGUGCACGCCGAGCAGCUGUCUCCGUAAAGGUGGAUGCAGUUGGAUCAACGGGACAAAAAAGUUGGCGGUGGUCUUUGGCUGCUGCUCCAAGGCAGGUGGAAGCCCUCCAGUGAUUGUUUGUGUUGUAUGGCCAAGUGAGGGAGACGUCACACAGCAACACGGGCUCAAACCUCAUCAUUCUGGGUUUCAUUUCCACGUCUUGACCUUCUAAUCCAACCACUGUACCCAUAGAGCACAGGCCUGACAUCUAGGGAGUGAAAAAGGUUUGGAAAGAGGGCAUGUGAACUGUACACCCGCAGCUUCCUGUACAUGGGCUCCCAGCUUGUGUACCAGUUUACUUGGUCUUCUCCCCUUGUUUUUAUGCAAGGAAAUUUACCAUUCACGUGAGGUGGCCCCUGCAUUGUGGGGAAGUCCUGAAUCAUCAUCUAACAAGCAGCCAUUCUCAUCUUCGCUGGCUAGCAUUAAUGUGUCACUGAACUUGUUUAGAAUUUUUUUUUUUUUUUUACGUCGCAGCCUAUUGCGCCGGUAGGCUUCUUCCCGGUGGGGCCUGAGGGUCGGCCCAGCCCGAAAUAUGUUUUAUAAACUUAACAAGUCUGGCGAUGUGAGGUAAUGCAAACCAGUGAGGAUGAGAACGGGUUCCCUUGAGUGCUGGCCUGUUGAGGACUGAUCAUUGGAUGCUGGCUCAGGAUGUUCACACAAUGCAGAGAGGAUACAGUAGGCAAUCACUUGAAUGGUAAAUCUCCAUGCAUAAUGUUGCCAUGGGUGCUUGUAAGUAAAGCUCACAGCUCUGAAAUGUUUGGAUGAAGAUAAUGCUUUGAACCUUGUCUGAAGUAGGGAGGCCUGGCAGUGGCGGGGACAAUAGUGUAGAUUACUGGUUCAGCAUGAGUAAAAACCCACCUUAAAAGGAUAGCUAUAGGCAUCUCCAGCCAUUUGUGGUUGAGGUAACUUCUGAUGACAAGUGUAUAAUGCUAGUGAGGCUGAAGCACACCCUGGGCUUCAUGACUUUUAUUGCAGUGCAUAGUCCUGCUUAUUUGUGUGGAACUGAAGAGAGAGAUGGUAUUCUAUGCCAGACUAACUCUGUAUUAGACCAGUGCCCCUUUCGAGACACAUUCAUUGUCUGGGCGACUUCAAUAUAUACUACUGAUGCCUCAGGGUUGGCUAUGAAUUAUGAGUUGACUCUAUGGUUCUAGUACAGGGACACUAAUAGGUCUCUCCUGAAUUUUAAAAGAUCCAGGAGAUGGAGAAUUACAGGUCCUUAGUACCAGAGAUGCACUGUUGGACUUUGUAUAGAAAUGCUGGAGGGGUAGUUAAGGAAUUUUAUCACUUCCUGUAAGUGCUCUUUGGAGGAUCCAUCAGUGUUUUUUUGCAACUUGUUGUGGCAACAGUCAAGCUUCAUGUUAGAUUAAGAAGAAUCCUGAGAUGCAACAAGAUUGUUUCAUCUUGAGACACUUAAAGAGCUGGCAUAUCCUCAGGAGUAUACAGAAACAAUCUUCAAAUUGGUUUAAUGUGCUCAGCACCCUUGAGGAUCCUGUAGAACUGUAGUAUACCUUCAAACUUCAAGCUGCAAUGGAGUGCAUUGGAGAGCACUAAAGAUCUAGAAGUGGUUUUACCUCUGGGGAGAUACUAGAGAAUAUCUAAGUCACACUGCCAGACUUGCUGGGAAGUAGGACCAACACAGGGCUAGAGGUUAGAAACAAGAAGUACGUCUUGAGUCUCACUGAGGAUGUCGAUGGCCACUUUGGUACAAAUGACCUCCGACCCGUUUACCAAACCUCUCUCUCAGGUGAGUGCUAUCUGAACAGAGGAUAAUUGUCUCAUGUCAGAUGUGGAUGGGUUGAGGGUUCACUGGGUGGGUUUUGUACUUUGAACAUUUGUACUUAUUGGACCCUCUGAGGGGGUAGCUUCCAACUACAGGGUUGCAGUUGGUGGAUGCUGAUCCACCCACUGAUGAAAUCCCACCCUCUUGAUAAGGUUGGAAAGGCUAUGGCAUGGCUGAGGGUUGAAAAGGCAGCUGGUAUGUGUAGAAUUAGUGCAGAGCAGCUCAGAGCUGGAGAUGAGGCCAUGCUCCAAGAGUUGCAUGUUUUCUUAACUGCUGUAUGGCAUUCUGGUACCAUUCCUCCUGAGUGAAAGAUGGGGCUGGUCUUUCCUAUCUGGAAAGGGAAAGGGGCCCACCAGGACUGCAAGAACUACUGUUAUAUCACUCUGCUUGGUGUACCAGGCAAUGUGCUUGCCCUUCUAUUUCUCAUGCAGAUUUGCAGCUAGCUGUUGAAAUUGUAAAGAAUCCUGAAGAGUCCAGGUUCAUGCUUGUUAAGUUGACAACUGACUGUAUCCUAGCACUUUGCGUACUGGUGGAGCACCAAUGUGAGUUUUGACAGGGGGUGCUUGCAGCAUAUGAAAGCAUUUAAUUCAGUUCAUGAUGAGGCACUAUGGAGUCUCCUGCAACUUAACAGGAUUCCAACAAGGACCUCUGGUCUAUAUUGACUGGCCUGUACUAAGGACCAACAGAUCUAUAAAAUGUGGGUGGGGUGUGUCCAGCUUCUUUCCCAUGAACAUGUUAGUGAGGCAAGGCAGUGUUCUUUCCCCAUCACUUUUCAGCACUACCAUGUACUGGGUACUAGGCAGAGUUGCAGACCAGAGUCAUUAUUUAACAUGUUGGCAAUACCAUGAUCACUUACUUAUUUUUGCUUCAGAGAUACUGUAAUAAUAGUGAAAAAAUCCUGAAAUGAACACCACCUUGUGCCGGGGAUAGAACCUUUACCUUCCGAGUAGAAGUCAGGGCAGUAUACUGACUAUGCCACCGAUGAGCCAAAACAGUUGAUUAAAAGCGUUUCCAACCGUCACGGGUGUGAGCGGGGUCACCUUCACCCUUCAUGCCCACAGUGCGAGGUGGGGGCGUCAGGAAUAGGUCACAGAAGUGGCCACUGGCGUGGUGACCUUUUAGCUCAUCGGUGGUGUAGUCUGUAUGCUGCCCUGACUUCUACUCGGAAGGUAAAGGUUCUAUCCCCGGCACGCAGUGGUGUUCAUUACCGGACUUAUUUUUGUCGAUGUAUAUU